This 566-nucleotide ribosomal RNA is filed under the name uncultured fungus. Its description in RNAcentral is "eukaryotic LSU rRNA". It matches the Rfam family "Eukaryotic large subunit ribosomal RNA", at positions 71 to 651 of the family's 3401-position model. Lineage: Eukaryota; Fungi. The record is from RNAcentral.
GGGAUUACCUCAGUAACGGCGAGUGAAGCGGUAACAGCUCAAAUUUGAAAUCUGGGUCUUUCAGGCUCCGAGUUGUAAUUUGUAGAAGAUGCUUCGGGUGCGGCUCCGGUCUAAGUUCCUUGGAGCAGGACGUCAUAGAGGGUGAGAAUCCCGUAUGUGAUCGGUUGCUUGCGCCCAUGUGAAGCUCUUUCGACGAGUCGAGUUGUUUGGGAAUGCAGCUCAAAAUGGGUGGUAAAUUUCAUCUAAAGCUAAAUAUUGGCCAGAGACCGAUAGCGCACAAGUAGAGUGAUCGAAAGAUGAAAAGCACUUUGGAAAGAGAGUUAAACAGUACGUGAAAUUGUUGAAAGGGAAGCGCUUGCAACCAGACUUGCGCGUUGCCGAUCAUCCGGGGUUCUCCCCGGUGCACUCGGCUUCGCUCAGGCCAGCAUCGGUUUCGGUGGUGGGAUAAAGGCCUUGGGAAUGUAGCUUCUUUCGGGGAGUGUUAUAGCCCUCGGUGCAAUGCCGCCUACCGGGACCGAGGACCGCGCUUCGGCUAGGAUGCUGGCGUAAUGGUUGUAAGCGACCCG